CCUACGGGUGGCAGCAGUGAGGAAUAUUGGUCAAUGGCCGGAAGGCUGAACCAGCCAUGCCGCGUGAAGGUCAGUGCCCUAUGGGCGUUAAACUUCUUUUGUGCGGGAGCAAUAAUAGUCACGUGUGGCCAGACGAGAGUACCGUACGAAUAAGCAUCGGCUAACUCCGUGCCAGCAGCCGCGGUAAUACGGGGGAUGCAAGCGUUAUCCGGAGUUAUUGGGUUUAAAGGGUGCGUAGGCUGGGAGGUAAGUCAGCGGUGAAAUGCCCCCGCUCAACGGGGUGAAGUGCCAUUGAUACUGCCUGGCUGGAAUGCGGAUGCCGUGGGAGGAAUGUGUGGUGUAGCGGUGAAAUGCAUAGAUAUCACACAGAACACCGAUUGCGAAGGCAUCUCACGAAUCCGCGAUUGACGCUGAUGCACGAAAGCGUGGGUAUCAAACAGGAUUAGAUACCCGGGUAGUC
Molecule: ribosomal RNA, 460 nt
Filed under: uncultured bacterium
Lineage: Bacteria
Description: partial 16S ribosomal RNA
Rfam family: Bacterial small subunit ribosomal RNA
Source: RNAcentral